CAAAAUGCUCGGAAAGCUAGGAAAGCAAACAAUGACAUGAACCUACAAGAAACAAUGGACAAAGAAUUGGAUAGCCAUAGACUGGAGCAUGGUCCAAAGAAGAGAAAGAUACCAGGUGGAAACAACAAUGAAGAUGAGGAAGAUGUGGAAGAUAUCAAUGUUGGGGAAGAUGAUAUGAUGGAUGAUGUGUUGGGUGUUGAUGAUAAUAAUGGUAGGAGGGGAGAUGAAACAGCGAAAGCAGAG
This 243-nucleotide long non-coding RNA is filed under the name Gossypium barbadense (sea-island cotton). RNAcentral's name for it is "long non-coding RNA (GBAR_LNC013097)". Lineage: Eukaryota; Viridiplantae; Streptophyta; Magnoliopsida; Malvales; Malvaceae. The record is from RNAcentral.